GACGAACGCUGGCGGCGUGCUUAACACAUGCAAGUCGAACGGAAAGGCCCUGCUUUUGUGGGGUGCUCGAGUGGCGAACGGGUGAGUAACACGUGAGUAACCUGCCCUUGACUUUGGGAUAACUUCAGGAAACUGGGGCUAAUACCGGAUAGGAGCUCCUGCUGCAUGGUGGGGGUUGGAAAGUUUCGGCGGUUGGGGAUGGACUCGCGGCUUAUCAGCUUGUUGGUGGGGUAGUGGCUUACCAAGGCUUUGACGGGUAGCCGGCCUGAGAGGGUGACCGGCCACAUUGGGACUGAGAUACGGCCCAGACUCCUACGGGAGGCAGCAGUGGGGAAUUUGCACAAUGGGCGGAAGCCUGAUGCAGCAACGCCGCGUGCGGGAUGACGGCCUUCGGGUUGUAAACCGCUUUCGCCUGUGACGAAGCGUGAGUGACGGUAAUGGGUAAAGAAGCACCGGCUAACUACGUG
RNAcentral lists this ribosomal RNA (467 nucleotides) under uncultured bacterium. RNAcentral's name for it is "partial 16S ribosomal RNA". It matches the Rfam family "Bacterial small subunit ribosomal RNA", at positions 28 to 507 of the family's 1533-position model. The record is from RNAcentral.